This is a non-coding RNA of Pelobates cultripes (western spadefoot toad), 1981 nucleotides long. The record is from the annotation of a GenBank genome assembly. Lineage: Eukaryota; Metazoa; Chordata; Amphibia; Anura; Pelobatidae.
CCAGGAUUUGUCCAGACUGGUCAUGUUUUACAGCAAUCCUGAAUUGCUUAGGGGGCAGAAUACUUCUUUGGUUACAAUGUGUAGGGCGAGAAUAGUGUAAGGUAAGAAAACCUACUUGUACACAAAGAAGAACAUUUGAAGAUUGCGCCUUCGUUAAAAUAAUUCACGAGUGAAGUAAUAAAACAUACAAAACACCUAAAAAAACAAUUAAGAGGUUUUUAAUAAUGAUAUGUAUAAAUAAAUCCUGUAGAUAUCACCAAUUUGAAGACAGAAAACAGCAACUGCCAUCUAUAGAGGAACAAGUAUAAGGUUUGCAACUACGUCAGUUGUGCAGUAGCCCUUUCUUAAUAAAAUUAAGGUAUAUUAAGAAAAGGGUGGUAUUGCCGCUCCGAAUUCACAGCUGAAAUAAAUAAAAUAUUACAGCGAACACGCAAUACUCUGAUUAAUUUAGGUUAAAAAGUGUAUAAGGCCACAAAUUGAGAGCACUUGUAUAGACAUAAUCUUUCAGUAUUACAUGUGAGGUUUCUUGCAAAAAAACUGUUUGAAACCUACUGAAAGGAAGCAGAUUAGCCUGCAUUGCUUGUUACGCAAACAAGCAGUGAUGAAAUAUGUGGGGAAAAUAACUGGAGCAAUCACGAACAAGCAACUUUGCAAAACUCUGCUCUUUGCAGCUACAAAACAGAGAUUGCACACAUUUUAAAAAUGUAUAAAAAGGAGUGAUGCUGACUCUCAGUGGUCACAAUAAAAAAAAAACACUUGUCAUUAAAAAUAUAUAAAUCUUAUUUUUUUAAAUCCAUGUAUAUUGACAUUGUUCAGAAAAUCAUUUGCUUACUUUCCCACUACCCCUUUGUAAAAGUGAGCAAUGGGACUGAUAAUUUGGACCAAGGUGCACAACCAUCUUUUACUUUCCAAAAUCAUGUCACCUUUGUGCCGGCAGCAUUUUCUGAGAUUUUGAAAAGUAAUGGACAGUUGAAAAUAGUGAGCACUGGGUCAGGCAGCCAACAAUCCAACCAAAAAAAAAAAAAAGGCAGUCAAAAGGGGAGAGUGAAAAGGAAGACAAGGGAUUUCUUCAAAAAGGUCAAUAUACAUGAAUUGAAAAAUAAUGAGAUCGCAUGACAGAUAUUAAAUAAAAAAAGUGUUAAGGACAGUUCCUCUUACAGCUUGAUCCACAUGGACAGCUUAUUAAACCAGUGGUACCCGUCUGCUGGCACACCACCAGCUUAAAGACAGAAGCAGAAAUGCACCCAGUCUGCCAUAUUCAUGAUAUGCUAAACAUACUUCCUUCAAUUAAAAUCAAGUGUAUAUAAACAAUGAGCUUCAUAUUAUUUCUAAUUAAAAAUAUUCUCUACUUUAUACAAGUGAGAUUUUCCUUUUAACCAUUAGGUUACCACCACUGUCCCAUUUGUAUUCAACAUCUCCUGCCUUAGAAUAAAGUGUUUCUCCAACACACACACAUACAUACAUUAUAUAUAUAUAUAUAUAUAUAUAUAUAUAUAUAUAUAUAUGUGAAACCAAGAGGGCCGCACUCACCAGAACAUGCAUACAUUAUAGGGUGCUGCUGUGGCCAAAAUAUACAAAAUACAGAAUCCAGCACACACGCUUAUUCACUAAACAAUGAUUUCAAAUCUUAGCGAUUGUAAUAGUUUUAUUUAAAAACACCUCACCUAGGCAAAAAAUAAUGGGGGAGUUUAGUAUCAUUAUAUGAUCAUAUAUUGCAUAAACCUGCUGCAACGUCAAUGUACCACAUUCUUGGCAGGUCCUAAUCUAGCAGCCUAAUGCUUGCUCUUAUGAAAUUAAUCCACUGACUUGGGAAAUACUUCCUUACUGGGACUCUCUGCAAGGACCCAAUUUAGCCUUGACUUUUGAAAAGGUGCAUGUGCGCACUCUGAGCCAGCCAGGGGAGAGGGCGUGAAUAAAGGACUUGAGAAGGCAGGAUAAAAAUAUAGAAUAUAAUUAUAUAUAUAUAUAUAUAUAUAUAUAU